UGUAUUACUUGUGGCUUCUGGUUAUUUGUUUCCCCUAGCGUUCCUUCCUGCUUUCGGACCAUGUAAGCCUUUGCACUAUUUAGCAUUAAAUACCCCCCCUCCCAGAUUUUUUUUAGACUAGGACACGCUGCAGGCACAGCACAGAAUCCCACUGAGUUUCAUUAUAGUCUUUGAUGUUUACGCUGAAGCACUUGAAAGAUUCACAAAGCCAUCAUGUCUGAUAAAAUGCCAUAUUAUAUGUGUUAUUUUCUGUGGAGAAAAUGAGAAUGAGAGGAGUACGUGGGUAGAAAUUGAUGUUCAGUAUUUUCUCUUAUUAGCAGGACCUUCUAAAGCAGCAACGCUGGCAUCCAUCUCUGUCAUUGUUUUACUGGUGAUUCUCUGCUCUUUGGGCAUCAUCGCCUUAAUGUAUCAAAGGAAGUCAAAAAAGCACAUCCCAGUGCAGACGCCAGAUGAAGUAAAACCCAUGAAUCCUGGCUCAUCUGAAGUGGACUCGUAGAUACUGUAGUACCCUGUGGCUUUCCCACUGACUCUUACCCUCACAUAGAACUGGACUCUGGUCAGAUGGUGUUUGUCACAGCCUAAUAACUUCCAACAACACCAUUCCCAAAUCAUCAGGGCUAUCUUGCUAUUAUUUUAGUUGUUUAUAUAGCCUAAGAAGCUUAAUAAAAAAUAAAUAAAUAAAAAAAGACUACUCAGUUGUGAUAGGUUUGUAGCUUGAACCCAUCCGCUGGAACGUUGAAGACAAUAUAAUUACACUGCAAAGCAAGACACAAGUAGGCAAGCUUCUUCAUGUUUC
Astatotilapia calliptera (eastern happy) is the source of this 796-nucleotide long non-coding RNA. The record is from Ensembl. Lineage: Eukaryota; Metazoa; Chordata; Actinopteri; Cichliformes; Cichlidae.